Molecule: ribosomal RNA, 356 nt
Filed under: uncultured bacterium
Lineage: Bacteria
Description: bacterial SSU rRNA
Rfam family: Bacterial small subunit ribosomal RNA
Source: RNAcentral
GGACCCGCACAAGUAGUGGAGCAUGUGGUUUAAUUCGAAGAUACGCGCAGAACCUUACCAACACUUGACAUGUUCGUCGCGACUUUAAGAGAUUAAAGUUUUCGGUUCGGCCGGACGAAACACAGGUGCUGCAUGGCUGUCGUCAGCUCGUGUCGUGAGAUGUUGGUUAAGUCCCGCAACGAGCGCAACCCUCACUUUUAGUUGCCAUCAUUAAGUUGGGCACUCUGAAAAGAACUGCCAGUGAUAAGCUGGAGGAAGGUGGGGAUGACGUCAAGUCCUCAUGGCCCUUACGUGUUGGGCUACACACGUGCUACAAUGGCUGGUACAGAGGGCUGCGAACCCGCGAGGGGCAAGCG